CAAGCGCUGCACCGGUAUUCCAAAUCCGUUUAAAAACCGGGGUUAUUGGGCUGGAAGAUUGCCCAACAUAGCCAAUACUGAUGAGUACUGACGGCGCAUCUCCCCCCAAGUGUGCUGUCAGCCAAGGUGCCGUGGACCGCGCAUCUUGAUUUACUCCUAAUGGUCUUAACCCGGAUUCAUCCCCCAGAACCCGG
Non-coding RNA from Vibrio sp., 194 nucleotides. NCBI's taxonomy places the organism in Bacteria, Pseudomonadati, Pseudomonadota, Gammaproteobacteria, Vibrionales, Vibrionaceae. The record is from Rfam.